This 464-nucleotide ribosomal RNA is filed under the name uncultured bacterium. RNAcentral's name for it is "bacterial SSU rRNA". It matches the Rfam family "Bacterial small subunit ribosomal RNA", at positions 355 to 811 of the family's 1533-position model. The record is from RNAcentral.
UGGGGAAUUUUGGACAAUGGGCGAAAGCCUGAUCCAGCAAUGCCGCGUGCAGGAUGAAGGCCUUCGGGUUGUAAACUGCUUUUGUACGGAACGAAAAAGCUCCUUCUAAUACAGGGGGCCCAUGACGGUACCGUAAGAAUAAGCACCGGCUAACUACGUGCCAGCAGCCGCGGUAAUACGUAGGGUGCGAGCGUUAAUCGGAAUUACUGGGCGUAAAGCGUGCGCAGGCGGUUAUGUAAGACAGAUGUGAAAUCCCCGGGCUCAACCUGGGAACUGCAUUUGUGACUGCAUGGCUAGAGUACGGUAGAGGGGGAUGGAAUUCCGCGUGUAGCAGUGAAAUGCGUAGAUAUGCGGAGGAACACCGAUGGCGAAGGCAAUCCCCUGGACCUGUACUGACGCUCAUGCACGAAAGCGUGGGGAGCAAACAGGAUUAGAUACCCUGGUAGUCCACGCCCUAAACGAUG